RNAcentral lists this transfer RNA (57 nucleotides) under Phrynus sp. 1 SEM-2008. RNAcentral describes it as "tRNA-Ala". The record is from RNAcentral. Lineage: Eukaryota; Metazoa; Arthropoda; Arachnida; Amblypygi; Phrynidae.
GGGUUUGAUAAAACUUUUUUUGCAUAUAAGUUUAGUCAUCAUUUCUGACCAAAUCCA